RNAcentral lists this ribosomal RNA (253 nucleotides) under uncultured bacterium. RNAcentral's name for it is "partial 16S ribosomal RNA". It matches the Rfam family "Bacterial small subunit ribosomal RNA", at positions 524 to 776 of the family's 1533-position model. The record is from RNAcentral.
UAAGAAGGGGGCUAGCGUUGCUCGGAAUUACUGGGCGUAAAGGGCGCGUAGGCGGUUUGGUCAGUCAGGCGUGAAAUUCCCGGGCUCAACCUGGGGGCUGCGCUUGAUACGGCCAGACUUGAGGAUGGAAGAGGCUCGCGGAAUUCCCAGUGUAGAGGUGAAAUUCGUAGAUAUUGGGAAGAACACCGGUGGCGAAGGCGGCGAGCUGGUCCAUUACUGACGCUGAGGCGCGACAGCGUGGGGAGCAAACAGG